Macaca mulatta (Rhesus monkey) is the source of this 947-nucleotide long non-coding RNA. RefSeq lists it as uncharacterized. The record is from RefSeq and is a predicted model, not a curated record. Lineage: Eukaryota; Metazoa; Chordata; Mammalia; Primates; Cercopithecidae.
CCUCCCUCCCUCCCUCUACCCCUGCUUUCCUCCCGCCUCUACCCUCCUCUACUUUCUAAGCAUCUGCUAGAUCAGGCAUUGUUCUAGGUUUACAGAUCUACAGCGUGGGACAAGAAGACAUCGUAGCCUCUGGCUUUUGGGGAUCAUAGAAACAUUUGCUCCGGGGAAAUGCUAAGUAACAACCUACACCAUUAAUUCUUUAAAAACGACUGUGACUCAGGGCCAGGAAGAAGACUUUGUAAAAGAACCUACAUUGACCAGAGACUUUGCAGCCAGCUCACCCCUCCAACUCCCUGCCCUGGAGUCCCUGACCUGGGAACUUCUGCAUCAGGCUGCUCAAACCUGAACUUGACAAAAUUUCAAAGCACCAAUUCUUUAUGUUGAUAAGACAAUGGUCAAAGUGCUGAACCUGGAACCUAGAUCACUCGAUGUUGCCUGCAGCUGAGUCCACUUCUGUCACUCACCCUGCAUUUCCCUGCUAGGAGCAAGAGAGAGAAAGCCGGCCAGAAGGCAUGGGUGUGGGCUCAGAUCUGGUUCCUCCUGUUGCCACUGUGAAAGUUGAUCAUACAAAGGUCACUGUUGUCAUAGGCCAGCAGAGUUAGGAGACCAGGGGAAAAAGCAUGUAACAUUGCUCCAAGAAUAUAACUGUCUCCAACCCUGGCUGCUGGAACAAGUGUUGCAACCUGAAACCAGUUUGAUCUAAUAGCUACUGAAACGACCUGCGGAAAUCUAAGACCAGUUUCACCCACCCACCAAUCAGAGCUUGCUGGAUCCCCAAAACGUUUCCAGCGCUAACGAACUUGCUUUCCUAACGAUCCGUUAACAUUUCUCAUUUUUAUGAAACCUCCAACCUUCUCUUUGCUCUUUGGACAUACUGAAGACCGCCCAGUCUGUGUGUAUGUCCCAAACUGAAAUUCUUGCUUCCCAAAUAAAACAUUUUAAACUUA